UACAGAGGUCCCAAGCGUUGUUCGGAUUCAUUGGGCGUAAAGGGUGUGUAGGUGGCGCCGUAAGUGGGGUGUGAAAUCUCGGGGCUUAACUCCGAAACUGCAUUCCAUACUGCGGUGCUUGAGGACUGGAGAGGAGACUGGAAUUCAUGGUGUAGCAGUGAAAUGCGUAGAGAUCAUGAGGAAGACCAGUGGCGAAGGCGGGUCUCUGGACAGUUCCUGACACUGAGACACGAAGGCCAGGGGAGCAAACGGG
RNAcentral lists this ribosomal RNA (253 nucleotides) under uncultured bacterium. Its description in RNAcentral is "partial 16S ribosomal RNA". It matches the Rfam family "Bacterial small subunit ribosomal RNA", at positions 524 to 776 of the family's 1533-position model. The record is from RNAcentral.